RNAcentral lists this small RNA (91 nucleotides) under Salmonella enterica subsp. enterica serovar Cerro. RNAcentral describes it as "partial RtT sRNA". It matches the Rfam family "RtT RNA", at positions 42 to 130 of the family's 130-position model. From Rfam's summary of the family: This family represents a bacterial cis-regulatory element known as RtT RNA. The exact function of RtT is unknown although it is thought that it may be involved in changing the cellular response in relation to amino acid starvation. Lineage: Bacteria; Pseudomonadati; Pseudomonadota; Gammaproteobacteria; Enterobacterales; Enterobacteriaceae. The record is from RNAcentral.
UUCGAUUCGAGCGUCAGCGAGAAAGCGUUGCCGCAGGCAACGACCCGAAGGGCGAAGCGCGCAGCGCUGAGUCAUCCUUCCCCCAUCACCA